UGCCAAAAUAAUCUCUCUAAAUUUGUUUUUAACCAAACGAGGAGCAAUUCAUUCAAAAUGUCUGCGUCCUCCGGGAAAGUCCCAGGUCAGGGAAUGGCACAUUGUCACGUCUGUGAGAAGACGUUCAAAACUCUAAAACGGUGCAAAAGUUGUAAAUCGACAUUUUAUUGUUCCAGAGAAUGUCAGAUUCGUGACUGGCCUACUCAUAAACUCCAUUGCUUGCCAAGAGACAGGAGCACCAAGAGAGCAGUUGAUCUCCACUCAAAAGCUGACAAUGACAGUAUCAAAAUUGAAAUGGUGAACUUCCAGACCCUGACACUUGAUGGGGAAACA
Molecule: long non-coding RNA, 333 nt
Organism: Lytechinus variegatus (green sea urchin)
Lineage: Eukaryota; Metazoa; Echinodermata; Echinoidea; Temnopleuroida; Toxopneustidae
Exons: 2
Source: RefSeq, a predicted model, not a curated record